UUCACACUAGAUUUUGAUAACAUUAACAUCAUCAUAGACAUUUAUCAUGUUUAUUUGGUUAAUAGGAAAGGGGUGUGACAGCAAACUAAUUAGCAGUCCUUUUUUUUUUUAAUAAUUUCCUCCCCAUUUCAUGAUAGACAGUGAUGUUUUUUGUUGUACAAAACAGGGAAUUAAUGUGAUAGCAUCCCACGUCUGAAUCUUCACCUUAAGUAUGAGCAGAUGAAUCUCAUUAUAAGGUUUAAGUUUACUAAAUUAACAAAGUCCAAUGAGAAAACAUAAUAUAGAAUGAAAAAAAUUCUAG
This 301-nucleotide long non-coding RNA is filed under the name Mytilus galloprovincialis (Mediterranean mussel). The record is from RNAcentral. Lineage: Eukaryota; Metazoa; Mollusca; Bivalvia; Mytilida; Mytilidae.